This 434-nucleotide ribosomal RNA is filed under the name uncultured Lachnospiraceae bacterium. RNAcentral describes it as "partial 16S ribosomal RNA". It matches the Rfam family "Bacterial small subunit ribosomal RNA", at positions 341 to 792 of the family's 1533-position model. The record is from RNAcentral. Lineage: Bacteria; Bacillati; Bacillota; Clostridia; Lachnospirales; Lachnospiraceae.
ACGGAAGGCAGCAGUGGGGAAUAUUGGACAAUGGGGGAAACCCUGAUGCAGCGACGCCGCGUGAGCGAAGAAGUAUUUCGGUAUGUAAAGCUCUAUCAGCAGGGAAGAAAAUGACGGUACCUGACUAAGAAGCCCCGGCUAACUACGUGCCAGCAGCCGCGGUAAUACGUAGGGGGCAAGCGUUAUCCGGAUUUACUGGGUGUAAAGGGAGCGUAGACGGCAAGGUAAGUCUGAAGUGAAAUGCCGGGGCUCAGCCCCGGAACUGCGUUGGAAACUAUCUCGCUCGAGUACCGGAGGGGUAAGCGGAAUUCCUAGUGUAGCGGUGAAAUGCGUAGAUAUUAGGAGGAACACCAGUGGCGAAGGCGGCUUACUGGACGGUAACUGACGUUGAGGCUCGAAAGCGUGGGGAGCAAACAGGAUUAGAUACCCUGGUA